RNAcentral lists this long non-coding RNA (860 nucleotides) under Olea europaea subsp. europaea. Lineage: Eukaryota; Viridiplantae; Streptophyta; Magnoliopsida; Lamiales; Oleaceae. The record is from RNAcentral.
GAAAUGAAAUUUCUUCUUUGAGAAAUUGAAUAUGAUUUCUUUUUAAAUUAAUAUUAUGAAUAAUUUUUGAAAUUGCAGUUUCUUUUAAAGAAUUAACAUCUUUAUAAGAAGGAGGAUUUGAAAAUUCAAAGAAAAUCUUUUUUCCAAAAUUUUUUGUAGUUAAUCCUUUAUGAUUAGCUUUAAAAGGAUAAAUUUGAACAAUGAAAGGAGUACCAAGAAUAACAUCUUGAUCUAAAUUUUUUACUAAGUAAAAUAUAUUUUUGAAACAAAUAUUUGAAUUAAAAACAUGAGCUUUUGAAAUUUUGUAAUUAAUAUUUAAUUUUUUGUCACUAGUACCAUAAAGGCGUUCAGUAGUUUUUUCGAAAUAUUUUGUAGGAAUUAAGCCUUCCUUGAUACAAUUUUGAUCUGCUCCUGAAUCAAUAAGAAUACGAGUUGUGAAUUUGAAUUCUUUGUUAACUACAAUAGUCAUAUUGCAGUACCAUUUCUGAAGUUGAAUUCGAUUAAUAACAUUAAUAUUUUCUUCUUUAGUUUGAGGAAAUUUUGAAAUAGAUGAGGCAUCAGAUGAAGAUGAUUCAGAAUGAUGAGAAGGAAGUUUUGAAGAUGAUUUUGAUUUCAAUUUGUUUUGAGAAUAAUAUUCAUUGGUUAAGUCUUUUGCUUUAAGGCAAACUACUUCCAUUCGAAUAUCUUGGACUUGUUUUUCAAGUUUUGAGAUUUGAUUUUUCAUAUCCUUAACUUCACUUUGAAGAUCAAGAAUUGAAGGUUUAGAACCUUUUGAGAGUUCCUUUUGAGCACGACGAAGAAUAUUUGUAAUAUUGAUAUUAUCAAAAUUUUCUUUUAAUGUAGAGGAAGAUAAUAGAGAU